RNAcentral lists this ribosomal RNA (1586 nucleotides) under Epistylis pygmaeum. RNAcentral's name for it is "partial small subunit ribosomal RNA". It matches the Rfam family "Eukaryotic small subunit ribosomal RNA". The record is from RNAcentral. Lineage: Eukaryota; Ciliophora; Oligohymenophorea; Sessilida; Epistylidae.
AACCGUGACAAAUUACAGCUAAUACAUGCAGUAAGACCUGGUCCAAGGGUCGUAAUUAUUAGUAUUAAACCAUUUCCGCAAGGAAUGUGAUGAAUCAUAAUAAUCGAACGAAUCGCCUGGUGUGCGAUAAAUCAUUCAAGUUUCUGCCCUAUCAGCUUUGGAUGGUAGUGUAUUGGACUACCAUGGCAGUCACGGGUAACGGAGAAUUAGGGUUCGAUUCCGGAGAGGGAGCCUGAGAAACGGCUACCACAUCUACGGAAGGCAGCAGGAGCGAAAAUUGCCCAAUCCUGACACAGGGAGGCAGUGACAAGAAAUAUCAACUCUUGGAUUUCUAAGAAGUGAAAUGAGGAUAAUUUACAACCCUUACCGAAAGCAAUUGGAGGGCAAGUCUGGUGCCAGCAGCCGCGGUAAUUCCAGCUCCAAUAGCGUAUAUUAAAGUUGUUGCAGUUAAAAAGCUCGUAGUUGAAGUUCUGGCUGUUCGAUCCUCGAGCUCUGUAGCCGAGGACUCGACAGUCAUCCGCUUGCAAAUAUAUGUUCGCCUUUAACCGGGUGGCUAUAUGAGCAAGCAUUUUACCUUGAGAAAAACAGAGUGUUCCAGGCAGGUUUGUCCGGAAUGCAUUAGCAUGGAAUAAUAGAAUAUGACUGAAGUCAAUUUAUUGGUUUAGGGCUUUAGUAAUGAUUAAUAGGAACAGUCGGGGGCAUUGGUACUUGACAGUCAGAGGUGAAAUUCUAGGAUUUGUCAAAGACUAACAAAUGCGAAAGCAUUUGCCAAGGAUGUUUUCAUUAAUCAAGAACGAAAGUUAGGGGAUCAAAGACGAUCAAAUACCGUCCUAGUCUUAACUAUAAACUAUACCGACUCGGAUUCGGAUGAAUCAAAAAGUUCAUUCGGGACCGUAGGAGAAAUCAAAGUUUUUGGGUUCUGGGGGAAGUAUGGUCGCAAGGCUGAAACUUAAAGGAAUUGACGGUUUUGCACCACCAUGGAGUGGAGUCUGCGGCUUAAUUUGACUCAACACUGGGAAACUCAUCAGGGCAAGAAGAUUUUAGGAUUGACAGAUUGAGAGUUCUUUCUUGAUUGGUCUAGUGGUGGUGCAUGGCCGUUCUUAGUUGGUGGAGUGAUUUGUCUGGUUAAUUCCGUUAACGAACGAGACCUUAACCUGCUAACUAGUACUGCGAUGACAAAUCGUUGUUACUUCUUAGAGGGACUAUGUGAUGUAAUCACAUGGAAGUUUGAGGCAAUAACAGGUCUGUGAUGCCCUUAGAUGUCCUGAGCUGCACGCGUACUACAAUGGUGCUUUCAACGAGCUUUUCCUGAUCCGAAAGGAUUUGGGUAAUCUUUUUAGUGAGCACCGUGCUUGGGAUAGAUCUUUGUAAUUAUGGAUCUUGAACUAGGAAUUCCUAGUAAGCGCUAGUCAUCAGCUAGUGCUGAUUACGUCCCUGCAAAAUGUACACACCGCCCGUCGCUAUUACCGAUUGAGUGCUAAGGUGAACCUUCUCGAUAGUGCAAACUAAAAAUUAAGUAAACCUUAGUACUUAGAGGAAAUAAAAGUCGUAACAAGGUUUCCGUAGGUGAACCUGCGGAAGGAUCA